Long non-coding RNA from Gambusia affinis (western mosquitofish), 1206 nucleotides. RefSeq lists it as uncharacterized. The record is from RefSeq and is a predicted model, not a curated record. The transcript is spliced from 4 exons. NCBI's taxonomy places the organism in Eukaryota, Metazoa, Chordata, Actinopteri, Cyprinodontiformes, Poeciliidae.
CAGCCAGUGUUUGUGCUGCUGCGGCUAGGAAAUGCUGCUAACGGAGACGGAGUCCGUUAGCAGUGAAGAGCUAAUUCAAACUAUUUACGCCUCGUGAAACGGCAUCGAUAAGGUGAAGGGUGAAAACUGUGGCGCCGUGGAUCUGCUGCCGGGUUGCUUAGCAGCAAACUGAAGGCGCCGUCUCCCCCUGCGCGGCGGCAGGCGUCGCCUCCUCUGGAAGAGAGCGGCGUGAUGAAGCGACUCGGGACCAGCUGUGCUGCUCAGCGUCGCUCUGCAUCUUCCCGGUCCUGGCUGACCCAUUUUCAGGAAACACCAAGGGAACAAACCAGAUGUGAACCUGCCUGGAGAGAUCAGCGGUGACAGGACGCCGUCAUUAUCCAGGAAGUCAAAAAUAACUCCAACGGCAUGAGAGGCUGAGGGAAGAGACCUCUGGGAGGAAGGAGGUGUUUUGGGCUAAUUGUGUUGCCGUCUCAUACGUGGCGCAUCAGCAUGGCCUCUGGGACUCGGUGCCAGUCCCAGUGGGCAGCUGGGGGACUGAAUGGGAACACUGGAGACUUUUACCCACAGAGGUGACGAGGAAGUGAACCGUCUGGAAAAAAAGCACGAGUCAAGUUUGUUACCUUACGUUGUUUGUGGCGUAUCAUCUUAUGUAAUUUCCGGAAAAUAAACAUUAAAUGUUAAUGAGGCCUGAGAAAUUGUUGCUCUCUGGACGAUAAAUCCCAUUUUUAAUUAUGAUGACACAUUCAGGCGGAAAGACUCCUGCAGCUGCCAAAGCCGGAGCGUGAAAACGUUCCUGGAAGAGCCGACAUGGAAGGUGAAAACGGAAAAAUAUGGCCGAAAGCCACAAGGACUCCCUCUGCACGUCUCCCAUCUGUUCGUAAAGUUACACAGUGAAAUAUUUACAUCAAUAAAUUUGGUUUAUUUAGUCAAAGAGAAAAAAACAACUGGGUGUUCAGUUGUCAGUCAUAUUAAUGCCAUAGUUACAAACGUAAUAUUAAAUUCACAAGCAAAAUAUUUAGAUUACUGUCUAAAUUUAUAACUCCAAAUGAAAUAUUUAGUAUAACUAAAUAUUUAUUUUUAUGUUUGACCUAAAAUGCUAACUUCAGCAACUUUAAUUAUAGCUACCAAGCUAAAAACCUAGUGACCAUGCUGGCCUGCUAUUAAAUAUUUUUGCUUGUUUGCUAAAUAUUUAGUUAGCAACAUAAA